RNAcentral lists this ribosomal RNA (497 nucleotides) under uncultured bacterium. RNAcentral describes it as "partial 16S ribosomal RNA". It matches the Rfam family "Bacterial small subunit ribosomal RNA", at positions 28 to 507 of the family's 1533-position model. The record is from RNAcentral.
GAUGAACGCUGGCGGCGUGCCUAAUACAUGCAAGUCGAGCGAACGGACGAGAAGCUUGCUUCUCUGAUGUUAGCGGCGGACGGGUGAGUAACACGUGGAUAACCUACCUAUAAGACUGGGAUAACUUCGGGAAACCGGAGCUAAUACCGGAUAAUAUUUUGAACCGCAUGGUUCAAAAGUGAGAGACGGUCUUGCUGUCACUUAUAGAUGGAUCCGCGCUGCAUUAGCUAGUUGGUAAGGUAACGGCUUACCAAGGCAACGAUGCAUAGCCGACCUGAGAGGGUGAUCGGCCACACUGGAACUGAGACACGGUCCAGACUCCUACGGGAGGCAGCAGUAGGGAAUCUUCCGCAAUGGGCGAAAGCCUGACGGAGCAACGCCGCGUGAGUGAUGAAGGUCUUCGGAUCGUAAAACUCUGUUAUUAGGGAAGAACAUAUGUGUAAGUAACUGUGCACAUCUUGACGGUACCUAAUCAGAAAGCAACGGCUAACUACGUG